UACGGGGGGGGCAAGCGUUGUUCGGAAUUACUGGGCGUAAAGGGCGCGUAGGCGGUUUAUUAAGUUGGAUGUGAAAACUCUGGGCUUAACUCAGAGCCUGCAUUCGAAACUGAUAGGCUGGAGUUCUGGAGGGGAUAGCGGAAUUCCUGGUGUAGCGGUGAAAUGCGUAGAUAUCAGGAGGAACACCGGUGGCGAAGGCGGCUAUCUGGACAGAAACUGACGCUGAGGCGCGAAAGCUAGGGGAGCAAACAGG
Molecule: ribosomal RNA, 253 nt
Filed under: uncultured bacterium
Lineage: Bacteria
Description: partial 16S ribosomal RNA
Rfam family: Bacterial small subunit ribosomal RNA
Source: RNAcentral